Molecule: small RNA, 124 nt
Organism: Dickeya dadantii 3937
Lineage: Bacteria; Pseudomonadati; Pseudomonadota; Gammaproteobacteria; Enterobacterales; Pectobacteriaceae
Rfam family: STnc490 Hfq binding RNA
Source: Rfam
AACCCCCAGCUAGGCUGGGGGUUCCGUAAAGCUUCCAGCUUUGGGGCGGAUAUAAAAACCCCUUUUGAUUUGUUAAAACACCUUGCGGUCUGGCAACUGCAAUGGUCAAACAAGAAAUCAAAAG